Molecule: unclassified non-coding RNA, 328 nt
Filed under: soil metagenome
Description: partial contains 5.8S ribosomal RNA, internal transcribed spacer 2, and large subunit ribosomal RNA
Rfam family: 5.8S ribosomal RNA (bases 1-120)
Source: RNAcentral
GAUGAAGAACGCAGCGAAAUGCGAUAAGUAAUGUGAAUUGCAGAAUUCAGUGAAUCAUCGAAUCUUUGAACGCACAUUGCGCCCCCUGGUAUUCCGGGGGGCAUGCCUGUCCGAGCGUCAUUACAACCCUCAAGCUCAGCUUGGUAUUGGGCCCCGCCGACCCGGCGGGCCCUAAAGUCAGUGGCGGUGCCGUCCGGCUCCGAGCGUAGUAAUUCUUCUCGCUCUGGAGGUCCGGUCGUGUGCUCGCCAGCAACCCCAAUUUUUUUCAGGUUGACCUCGGAUCAGGUAGGGAUACCCGCUGAACUUAAGCAUAUCAAUAAGCGGAGGA